This 497-nucleotide ribosomal RNA is filed under the name uncultured bacterium. Its description in RNAcentral is "partial 16S ribosomal RNA". It matches the Rfam family "Bacterial small subunit ribosomal RNA", at positions 28 to 507 of the family's 1533-position model. The record is from RNAcentral.
GAUGAACGCUGGCGGCGUGCCUAAUACAUGCAAGUCGAGCGAACGGACGAGAAGCUUGCUUCUCUGAUGUUAGCGGCGGACGGGUGAGUAACACGUGGAUAACCUACCUAUAAGACUGGGAUAACUUCGGGAAACCGUAGCUAAUACCGGAUAAUAUUUUGAACCGCAUGGUUCAAAAGUGAAAGACGGUCUUGCUGUCACUUAUAGAUGGAUCCGCGCUGCAUUAGCUAGUUGGUAAGGUAACGGCUUACCAAGGCAACGAUGCAUAGCCGACCUGAGAGGGUGAUCGGCCACACUGGAACUGAGACACGGUCCAGACUCCUACGGGAGGCAGCAGUAGGGAAUCUUCCGCAAUGCGCGAAAGCCUGACGGAGCAACGCCGCGUGAGUGAUGAAGGUCUUCGGAUCGUAAAACUCUGUUAUUAGGGAAGAACAUAUGUGUAAGUAACUGUGCACAUCUUGACGGUACCUAAUCAGAAAGCCACGGCUAACUACGUG